UUGCUUCCAACAGGGAAGAUGAGGUUUUUUUUUUUUUUCCUUCUUCUAGGAUGGUAGAGAGCAGUCUACAGCCUGAGACCCAUCACCAGCUAUUGCAACAGAGGCUACUCUUUGGUUUUCAAGAAAGAGUGUGGCUGCGCGUAGUGGCUCAUGCCUGUCAUCCCAACACUUUGGGACACCGAGGCGGGAGGAUCACGAGGUCAGGAGUUCAAGACCAGCAUGGACAACCUGGUGAAACCUCAUCUCUACUAAAAAUACAAAAAUUAGCUGGGCAUGGUGGUGCGUGCCUGUAAUCCCAGCUACUCAGGAGGCUGAGGCAGGAGAAUUGUUUGAACCGGGACCCAAGAGGACACAAUUGGAGAAAUUAUUUUACCAAGGCUUUGACUGGAAUGAUGUGCUUUCCUUUAAAGAAUAAACUUGACUUAUGGAGCCAAUAAAGCCCUUUUGAAAAACUGGCCUCAUGUUUUAUGUACACAGUCCAUGUGCAGGGGUUCUGACCUGUGGACAUGAGACUUCACAAUCUGCUAAAAAUGAGCUUUUGGGACCUACUCAUCUAGAAAUAAACCAUCCUAGCCAUGAGAGAUCAGAUGAAACCUGAAGCCAGAGACUUAUUUUUUUGUAAAAUGCUUUCUACAAAAGAUUUGAAAAAGAAAAGGGGGGAAAUGUGAAAGGAAAAUAUCUUGGGCCCCUUCAAGCUGGAAACCACUCAGGGCAAAUCUCCCUUGCAUUCUAUUCAACGUAAUCCCUCUGCUCACAGAGAUAGAUGCAUAUUCUGA
Pan troglodytes (chimpanzee) is the source of this 776-nucleotide long non-coding RNA. RefSeq lists it as uncharacterized. The record is from RefSeq and is a predicted model, not a curated record. The transcript has 4 exons. Lineage: Eukaryota; Metazoa; Chordata; Mammalia; Primates; Hominidae.